AAAAUGCGAUAAGUAAUGUGAAUUGCAGAAUUCAGUGAAUCAUCGAAUCUUUGAACGCACAUUGCGCCCGCCAGUAUUCUGGCGGGCAUGCCUGUUCGAGCGUCAUUUCAACCCUCAAGCUCAGCUUGGUGUUGGGACUCGCGGUAACCCGCGUUCCCCAAAUCGAUUGGCGGUCACGUCGAGCUUCCAUAGCGUAGUAAUCAUACACCUCGUUACUGGUAAUCGUCGCGGCCACGCUGUAAAACCCCAACUUCUGAAUGUUGACCUCGGAUCAGGUAGGAAUACCCGCUGAACUUAAGC
Molecule: unclassified non-coding RNA, 300 nt
Filed under: plant metagenome
Description: partial contains 5.8S ribosomal RNA, internal transcribed spacer 2, and large subunit ribosomal RNA
Rfam family: 5.8S ribosomal RNA (bases 1-105)
Source: RNAcentral